AUAAGGAUGAUUCCACAAGUGACAAAGGAGAAAGCAAAGUCUAGACAAGGAGAAAGAAGAUAAAUAGAAAAGAAUGGAAGGAGAACAAGAAAGAAGAACAAAGAGAUGGGGCAAAAGCAAGAUAAGAAGCAAAUACCCACAGGAAUAUGUGAAGAAUCCCAGACCUUCAAUCAAGCAGAAAUUCAUCUAUGCAAGUUAUUCACUGGUUACUGGGUUAUUGGCACAUUCCUUAGGUAGACAAGUCAAAGGAAGAUGAAACAAACCAGGUUACCCAGGAAAGUGAUGAGCUUCAUCUCUGGGGGUGUUUAAGGAACAUUUGAAAGUGGUGCUUAGUGUACUGGGUCUGGCUGGAAUGUUAACUUUCACAGCAGCAGCCCUUACAGUGCCGUACUCUGCACUCGUAGCUGGAA
RNAcentral lists this long non-coding RNA (410 nucleotides) under Cairina moschata (Muscovy duck). Its description in RNAcentral is "domestica (muscovy Duck (domestic type)) lncRNA (ENSCMMG00000002024.1)". Lineage: Eukaryota; Metazoa; Chordata; Aves; Anseriformes; Anatidae. The record is from RNAcentral.